This 409-nucleotide ribosomal RNA is filed under the name bacterium. RNAcentral's name for it is "partial 16S ribosomal RNA". It matches the Rfam family "Bacterial small subunit ribosomal RNA", at positions 355 to 776 of the family's 1533-position model. The record is from RNAcentral.
UGGGGAAUAUUGCACAAUGGGCGAAAGCCUGAUGCAGCGACGCCGCGUGAGGGAUGACGGCCUUCGGGUUGUAAACCUCUUUCAGCAGGGACGAAGCGCAAGUGACGGUACCUGCAGAAGAAGCACCGGCUAACUACGUGCCAGCAGCCGCGGUAAUACGUAGGGUGCAAGCGUUGUCCGGAAUUACUGGGCGUAAAGAGUUCGUAGGCGGUUUGUCGCGUCGUUUGUGAAAACCAGCAGCUCAACUGCUGGCUUGCAGGCGAUACGGGCAGACUUGAGUACUGCAGGGGGGACUGGAAUUCCUGGUGUGGCGGUGAAAUGCGCAGAUAUCAGGAGGAACACCGGUGGCGAAGGCGGGUCUCUGGGCAGUAACUGACGCUGAGGAACGAAAGCGUGGGUAGCGAACAGG